Molecule: small nucleolar RNA, 127 nt
Filed under: Cyprinodon variegatus (sheepshead minnow)
Lineage: Eukaryota; Metazoa; Chordata; Actinopteri; Cyprinodontiformes; Cyprinodontidae
Description: Small nucleolar RNA SNORA33 (ENSCVAG00000018385.1)
Source: RNAcentral
CGGCCAGGCAAGUCCAGGUGUUGUGCAUUGUGCCACGCAGCUGUCUAAUUCCUGGCUAGAUAACAGCCACAGUACGAGCCUCAUCAUCCAACUGUGAUAUCUGGGGUCCCUGGAAAUGGCUACAUGC